RNAcentral lists this ribosomal RNA (433 nucleotides) under uncultured bacterium. Its description in RNAcentral is "partial 16S ribosomal RNA". It matches the Rfam family "Bacterial small subunit ribosomal RNA", at positions 29 to 507 of the family's 1533-position model. The record is from RNAcentral.
AACGAACGCUGGCGGCAGGCUUAACACAUGCAAGUCGAGCGAGACCUUCGGGUCUAGCGGCGGACGGGUGAGUAACGCGUGGGAACGUGCCCUUCUCUACGGAAUAGCCCCGGGAAACUGGGAGUAAUACCGUAUACGCCCUUUGGGGGAAAGAUUUAUCGGAGAAGGAUCGGCCCGCGUUGGAUUAGGUAGUUGGUGGGGUAAUGGCCCACCAAGCCGACGAUCCAUAGCUGGUUUGAGAGGAUGAUCAGCCACACUGGGACUGAGACACGGCCCAGACUCCUACGGGAGGCAGCAGUGGGGAAUCUUAGACAAUGGGGGCAACCCUGAUCUAGCCAUGCCGCGUGAGUGAUGAAGGCCUUAGGGUUGUAAAGCUCUAUCAGCUGGGAAGAUAAUGACGGUACCAGCAGAAGAAGCCCCGGCUAACUCCGUG